Molecule: ribosomal RNA, 196 nt
Filed under: Ctenophora environmental sample
Lineage: Eukaryota; Metazoa; Ctenophora
Description: partial Bacterial large subunit ribosomal RNA
Rfam family: Bacterial large subunit ribosomal RNA
Source: RNAcentral
UCAAGUACCGAAGUGCACACGGUGGAUGCCUUGGCAAUCAGAGGCGAUGAAGGACGUUGUAGCCUGCGAUAAGCGCGGGGGAGCUGGCAAACAAGCUUUGAUCCCGCGAUUUCCGAAUGGGGAAACCCAGUCUUAGGACUAUCCGAAAGGAAGCUAACCCGGAGAACUGAAACAUCUAAGUACCCGGAGGAAAGGA